Long non-coding RNA from Raphanus sativus (radish), 1528 nucleotides. RefSeq lists it as uncharacterized. The record is from RefSeq and is a predicted model, not a curated record. The transcript is spliced from 8 exons. Lineage: Eukaryota; Viridiplantae; Streptophyta; Magnoliopsida; Brassicales; Brassicaceae.
UUGGGCUUCUGAAAAGACACAGAAGGUCUCCGCCUUCUUCGUUUGUGUCGUCUAUUGUUCUACGUUACGGAAGACAGAUGAAUCCAAUUGUCGCUUUUAACACACUCAUUAAAAAAUCUCCCACUACUCACACGAUUUGUGAUUCAAUGCAUCCCUCAUUACUUCCAUUUUGUAAUUCUUCCACUAUAAAUUGGCGAGCCCGUGUACCUCAACCAUCUAGCUUCGCCUGCUUAGGUUUGGAAGCAAAAGAUGUGAAACGCGGAGGCGAGCUUAUGGGGUAGACAUGUUCACUGUCGAGGCAGAGACAAUUUCGAUACGAGCAGUGGUCUCUACGACCUUCACCUCUCGAGAAUCAUCACCAUCAUCAUCAGCUCAUAAAAGCGAAGGAGAGAUACUUACCAAAUCGAACGUUAAGAACUUUAGAUUUCGCAAACUUUGCGGAGUUGCAUCAUGUUCGUUGCUUUUAUAGUUCUUUCUUUUGUUUUCUGCUACUCAUUACUGGAGCAUGAUAUCACAUUAUCUUGCAGGAUUUGAGAAACUUUAUGUUUUUUUGUGUGUUUGGAACUACCAGACACAGGUGGGUGUUUAAUUUUGUUUUUUUUUUUAAUCUGGAUUCAGAUGUACAUAUGUUCCUUCCAAUGAAAAAAUUGUGAUAAAUAAUAACCGAAAUUGCAACUAAAAUAUUAUUAUCUUUAUGUGUUCUAUGAGGCUUAGCAGUCUUUUCAUAGAUUUGUAGGCUGCUUUUAUGGCGCAUGGAUCUUAUUCUAAUCUGAAUCUUGCUUGACAAUCCUCAGGUGACCGAAAGUCUUUCUAGGCGACCAAAUUACCAUCUCAUCAAUCCUUUCUUAUUUGAAUUCCGACCGCUGCUCCUCAACGGUUGAAGUGUGAUUGCCACUGAUGAAGUUUCGGUUGAAGAGGAAACAUCGAUGCUUUUGUCAAUAGGUUCGAUAUCAGAGCAGCAGCCACAAGUGAAAAUAGAGAUUUGUGUGGCGUUAAUCAAGAUGCUUCUACUGGAGCUUGAAAAACCAUCUAAUCUGAAGUAUUUCGAACCUUAGCAAGAAUGUGAAACAAUUGCUGUCUCGGGUUUAAUUGACUACCAGAACAAGUAAGAGCAUGACUGCUGCCAUUCAUAUGAGGAUGUUUGUGACACAUUUAGAAACAAAGGGUCAUUGGAAAAAAGAGCGGGAGGGAAGAUAGCGACAUAGCAGCUGGUGGACGUGGAGAAGUGCAAUUACCUUACUGUUGAUUUCUUAAGCUUCACGAGCUCUGGGAAUGUCCACUGUUUUUUUCGGUUGUGGUCGGUGGUUCAGACAUGGAAGAGACUUAUGGUUAUUUAAUUUUUGUGAGAGGAUUCUGUCUCCAAGUGGGAUGGCAUCAUGCCUAUCGCUCAUUACAGCUACACAGUUUGUUCUUCUUUGUUUGUAUAUGUUUUUGACCAUUACCUUAUGCAUACGCUCCCAUAUAUCAACAAUAUUUUUUUAGUUGUGAUCCGGUUGACAAAAAAAAGAGUUAUGUAGAUCUUCACUCA